RNAcentral lists this ribosomal RNA (506 nucleotides) under uncultured Glomus. RNAcentral describes it as "SSU rRNA". It matches the Rfam family "Eukaryotic small subunit ribosomal RNA", at positions 569 to 1080 of the family's 1831-position model. The record is from RNAcentral. Lineage: Eukaryota; Fungi; Glomeromycota; Glomeromycetes; Glomerales; Glomeraceae.
AGCAGCCGCGGUAAUUCCAGCUCCAAUAGCGUAUAUUAAAGUUGUUGCGGUUAAAAAGCUCGUAGUUGAAUUUCGGGACCAAUAUGUCGGUCGUGCCUCGGUACGUACUGGCAUCGUUGGUUUCUCCCUUCUGAAGAACCAUGAUGUCAUUUAUUUGGUGUCGUGGGGAAUCAGGACUGUUACUUUGAAAAAUUAGAGUGUUUAAAGCAGGCUCACGCUUGAAUACAUUAGCAUGGAAUAAUGAAAUAGGACGUUUGAUUCUAUUUUGUUGGUUUCUAGGAUCGACGUAAUGAUUAAUAGGGAUAGUUGGGGGCAUUAGUAUUCAAUUGUCAGAGGUGAAAUUCUUGGAUUUAUUGAAGACUAACUACUGCGAAAGCAUUUGCCAAGGAUGUUUUCAUUAAUCAAGAACGAAAGUUAGGGGAUCGAAGACGAUCAGAUACCGUCGUAGUCUUAACCAUAAACUAUGACCGACUAGGGAUCGGAUGAUGUUAAUUUUUAAUGUACUC